Gasterosteus aculeatus aculeatus (three-spined stickleback) is the source of this 2950-nucleotide non-coding RNA. The record is from RefSeq and is a predicted model, not a curated record. NCBI's taxonomy places the organism in Eukaryota, Metazoa, Chordata, Actinopteri, Perciformes, Gasterosteidae.
AUAGGAGAACGAGGUGGCGUUGAGGGAGGCAGACCGAAACAGAAGUGGGAGGAGGGAAGUGAAAAUGUUUAGAGUGUCAGCGGGGGGCCAAUCAGCUUAUAGGUGCACCCCUGCUCCCGGGACGCACUCGGUCCAGAGCAUGAUGGUCAUCCUGCAAGACGAGGCGCGCACAGAGGCACCUGACGCCGAGGACUUCAGUCAGGGACAAAACUCUGCUGCCCGCUUCCGUCCGAGCCCUCAAUCUACCUCCUCAACAUUUUUCCUGGAAAGAGAGAAGGAAAAAAAGACCACCUUCUAACUGCAGUGAAAAAAAAAAAAAAAAAAAAAAAAGGAGCCGUAUCAUCUGGCUGAUCCUCCGGCACCGUCGACUAUGGUAUGGACUGCAAACCUUGUGUUAUGUUCAGGGGCGGGGGGACUGGCUGCUCAGCCUUACAUGGCAACCAAAGGAAAAGCCUUGAACAGAAUUUACACUCAAAGUCACCUUACGGUGCAGACUACCAUACAUGGGGGAGAGGACAGUGAGGAGAAAUGUUCUGCUGCUAACUUCCUGACCUUGGCGAAAGGAGAAGAUCCUAUUGAAGCUGCAUCUCUCCACCGCUUGGACCCAUCUGCAUGAUGUUCCGUGCCGCUCACUUUCACGCCUAGGACCACACGGCAAUGCGCUGCAUGCUCCUCCCGGGCCGUCUGAGUGACAAACACAGCAGAUGCUGACAUUAUCAAAUGCCGAGUGCCUGUCGUCCCCCCCCGGCUUUUGCCCUGUUAUGGACCUCGGACGAGGUGAGCAGCCAGGCCACCUGACUCUGAGCGACCCUGAGUGUGUGUGUGUGUGUAAGUGAGCGAGCAUGAAUGUGCAUGUGCAUGUUACAAAUAGACCUGCCUCUGGUGUGCCAUAUCAAACUGGCCCUACACUGACCUCCAUCCCGUCUACAAGCAGCGCUUUAAAUCCCUCAGCUGUCAUUCGCCGCUCUGAGAAGCUUAUUCCUGCCUUGGCAGAAAAGUCUAUAACUAGAACAGCUGAGCUGCGCUUCAUAUUCCUCUUGCAAAAUAGUGUCAAAGGAACAUUUAAACCAGCAAUAAUAAUGAAAGCUGAAAAAGAAAAGUGAAAUAUUGAUGUUGCUCUAAUAGUAGCAGCGGUUUAUUGAGCUCAUGAAGGACGACAACUAACAACAACAAAAAAGACAACAAAGGUUUAGUAAGAUGCUUCUGUGAUGAUGCGUGUAUGUGAAGUGAUUCAAUACUAUACUUCUGUUGAGCCCUGAAAGAGAAGAUAAUAAAUAAUCUGCCCUCAAGCCACAGUUCAAACAGUACCCUCUACACUACAAAUCAGUCUCUGGGACUUAAAUGACUGGUUUAAAUUAAUGUUGGGACUUGACACCCCAGAGUGCUGCUGUAGGAGCAUGAGCGCACAUGUGUGUGUGUGUGUGUGUGUGCACGUGUGUGUGGUUGUGCCUACGCAUUUGUCUGCCGGCCGUCUGGGUGACCGCAGCGGCGGCGUGUUUGCAGCAGGGCCCAUCCGUCAGAGCCUGUAAUUGCUUCAUGACUCCAGGACAUUUGACUCAAGUGCACUGCCACAGAUUAUUAUUAUCCUUUUCUCAGGGAACAGGGCCCCUCCCCCCUCGCCCCUCCCCUUCGCUCACUAGGGGGGGGCGAGCAUAAAACUUAAAAGAUAGACCCGAAAAUAUAUGCUCUUUGGGAGGUGGCAAAGGAGAAAGGUAGGUGAGGUUGAUCAACGGUACCUCGUGUGUUGUUGGCGUAGUGUGAGGCGUGCGGCGGGCUAAAACGAGGUGGGCGAGGGUGAACGGGCGAGAUAACAGAAAGGAGAGAGGAGGAGACGCAGCGCCGUCCUCUCAAGCUGGUGGGUGGACUCGGCGCGACGGGGCACAUCUCAGCUUUUUAAUAAGAUGUUUAAAUGCAACACGGCGUCUCUCUGCACAGUGUGUCUCGGGCCCUUUUGGAUUUAACUCUGCUGCUGCAGAGCCCACGUGAAGGUCUCCCCACCGCAGACGCUGCCCAGUCCGUCUCUGAAACAGCGAUUCCACAAUGCUUUGCUAAAGCUGGUAAAAUGGAACCAAAUCACCUCUUGAAUGGAUUUGGUCCCCUUCAACCAGCUGUAGCUAUGCUUUGAUGACACCAGGAGCUCCUUCCGACUGCAAUGCCUUCAACACACUCACUGCCGCGGGAGUGCGGGGAGGGGGCAUCCUCCUAAAGAUGGCCGGCAUAUGGCUUCCCUCUACCGACGACAUCUGCACUGCUCAUAGCUGUAAUGUUUAAUGUCACAUUUAUGACUAAUAAAGAAAAUAAUCCCACCUUAAAAACCUUCCACUUCCCUGACUGUUUACUCUCUGCCUCCGACCGGAUUCAUGUUCUCACCACACUAUCAAUGGCUGGUUUUAAAAAUAGCAAUGGGGGAAGGAGGGGAGGAUGGUCAGGGUGCGCUAUUUCACAGCCAUGGACUCACAUGUCGGUAAGAGAAGCCUCCUAAAGUGACUGUGUGCGAACAGUCAAUUACAGCGUGGGUGGGAAUAGGAAAGAGGAAAAAUAAAAAAACAUAAAAAGGGGGACCGCCAACUCAGCCGAGCUGGGGCACGAACGGGGGUCUUAUAAAGAAGAAACAGGACAAUAAGAAUAAAAGAGGUGGGAAGUGUAUCUAUGAAGAGAAGGUACACUUUGCACAGAUGCAGAGAGGCUCCAGUCUCACGCGCUGCACUCGCUGUGACUGCAGAUCCCAGCCAACUGCCUUCACACAGAGUCUCCUGACCCCCCCCUCCUCCUUUUCCUUUCCCUUCCUAAUUUGGUACUCGCCGCCACACAAACACAAAAAACACUCCAGAGUUAUUUGUUUGACAAGCAACCGAAACGCUGCAAUCUAUCCAAUUUGUCUGAUUAUACAAACUGAUUUGGGGACGCGGGUGAUGCAUAAAACGAAUAUGUAUUAAAGUCAUCGUCGAAA